RNAcentral lists this ribosomal RNA (2121 nucleotides) under Salmonella enterica. RNAcentral's name for it is "partial 23S ribosomal RNA". It matches the Rfam family "Bacterial large subunit ribosomal RNA", at positions 634 to 2739 of the family's 2925-position model. Lineage: Bacteria; Pseudomonadati; Pseudomonadota; Gammaproteobacteria; Enterobacterales; Enterobacteriaceae. The record is from RNAcentral.
UCUGUAGCAAGGUUAACCGAAUAGGGGAGCCGGAGGGAAACCGAGUCUUAAUUGGGCGUUAAGUUGCAGGGUAUAGACCCGAAACCCGGUGAUCUAGCCAUGGGCAGGUUGAAGGUUGGGUAACACUAACUGGAGGACCGAACCGACUAAUGUUGAAAAAUUAGCGGAUGACCUGUGGCUGGGGGUGAAAGGCCAAUCAAACCGGGAGAUAGCUGGUUCUCCCCGAAAGCUAUUUAGGUAGCGCCUCGUGAAUUCAUCUCCGGGGGUAGAGCACUGUUUCGGCUAGGGGGCCAUCCCGGCUUACCAACCCGAUGCAAACUGCGAAUACCGGAGAAUGUUAUCACGGGAGACACACGGCGGGUGCUAACGUCCGUCGUGAAGAGGGAAACAACCCAGACCGCCAGCUAAGGUCCCAAAGUCAUGGUUAAGUGGGAAACGAUGUGGGAAGGCCCAGACAGCCAGGAUGUUGGCUUAGAAGCAGCCAUCAUUUAAAGAAAGCGUAAUAGCUCACUGGUCGAGUCGGCCUGCGCGGAAGAUGUAACGGGGCUAAACCAUGCACCGAAGCUGCGGCAGCGACACUAUGUGUUGUUGGGUAGGGGAGCGUUCUGUAAGCCUGCGAAGGUGGCCUGUGAGGGUUGCUGGAGGUAUCAGAAGUGCGAAUGCUGACAUAAGUAACGAUAAAGCGGGUGAAAAGCCCGCUCGCCGGAAGACCAAGGGUUCCUGUCCAACGUUAAUCGGGGCAGGGUGAGUCGACCCCUAAGGCGAGGCCGAAAGGCGUAGUCGAUGGGAAACGGGUUAAUAUUCCCGUACUUGGUGUUACUGCGAAGGGGGGACGGAGAAGGCUAUGUUGGCCGGGCGACGGUUGUCCCGGUUUAAGCGUGUAGGUGUGUGUUCCAGGUAAAUCCGGUUCACUUUAACACUGAGGCGUGACGACGAGGCACUACGGUGCUGAAGCAACAAAUGCCCUGCUUCCAGGAAAAGCCUCUAAGCAUCAGGUAACAUCAAAUCGUACCCCAAACCGACACAGGUGGUCAGGUAGAGAAUACCAAGGCGCUUGAGAGAACUCGGGUGAAGGAACUAGGCAAAAUGGUGCCGUAACUUCGGGAGAAGGCACGCUGACACGUAGGUGAAGUGAUUUACUCACGGAGCUGAAGUCAGUCGAAGAUACCAGCUGGCUGCAACUGUUUAUUAAAAACACAGCACUGUGCAAACACGAAAGUGGACGUAUACGGUGUGACGCCUGCCCGGUGCCGGAAGGUUAAUUGAUGGGGUCAGCGCAAGCGAAGCUCCUGAUCGAAGCCCCGGUAAACGGCGGCCGUAACUAUAACGGUCCUAAGGUAGCGAAAUUCCUUGUCGGGUAAGUUCCGACCUGCACGAAUGGCGUAAUGAUGGCCAGGCUGUCUCCACCCGAGACUCAGUGAAAUUGAACUCGCUGUGAAGAUGCAGUGUACCCGCGGCAAGACGGAAAGACCCCGUGAACCUUUACUAUAGCUUGACACUGAACAUUGAGCCUUGAUGUGUAGGAUAGGUGGGAGGCUUUGAAGCGUGGACGCCAGUCUGCGUGGAGCCGACCUUGAAAUACCACCCUUUAAUGUUUGAUGUUCUAACGUGGACCCGUGAUCCGGGUUGCGGACAGUGUCUGGUGGGUAGUUUGACUGGGGCGGUCUCCUCCUAAAGAGUAACGGAGGAGCACGAAGGUUGGCUAAUCCUGGUCGGACAUCAGGAGGUUAGUGCAAUGGCAUAAGCCAGCUUGACUGCGAGCGUGACGGCGCGAGCAGGUGCGAAAGCAGGUCAUAGUGAUCCGGUGGUUCUGAAUGGAAGGGCCAUCGCUCAACGGAUAAAAGGUACUCCGGGGAUAACAGGCUGAUACCGCCCAAGAGUUCAUAUCGACGGCGGUGUUUGGCACCUCGAUGUCGGCUCAUCACAUCCUGGGGCUGAAGUAGGUCCCAAGGGUAUGGCUGUUCGCCAUUUAAAGUGGUACGCGAGCUGGGUUUAGAACGUCGUGAGACAGUUCGGUCCCUAUCUGCCGUGGGCGCUGGAGAACUGAGGGGGGCUGCUCCUAGUACGAGAGGACCGGAGUGGACGCAUCACUGGUGUUCGGGUUGUCAUGCCAAUGGCACU